CUAUUCUCGACAGGAUUUGCGGCUACAUCACCAGGGCAGUCACAGUUCCGGUAGAUACGGAAGCACCGCUGGAGGUUAUGAUUUUUUCGUUUUCGGCGAGGUUUACUGUUACAGGACAGUCGCAGUUCCAGUGGAUACAAAAGCAACACCGAACUGUCCAGUUUGGGUCGAGCAGAGUCGGCUAGAAGGUUGGAGACGCAAGCUGUUACAUCGUUCGACCCCCAAAUACCGCCGGCGUACCCCCGCGCUGGCGUAACCACUCUUCUGAUAGUGGUGGCUCGCUGUCCCCGAACCGAUGCAUUUGCCACCGACGUCGACUACGCCGCGAUAAUUCCAUUUCCGCGAAGCGGCGCGAAUUCGAAGUUUAAUUAAUCGAAUUCGCGCCCAUGCCAUCCUCGCCCAGCCGAAUCCUUCUCCCACCAUUUCUAGUUCUCUCCCGCUUAGGCUCCUUUGCCUCGGCUCUCUUCCUACCCUCAGCCAACCAACCAGCCACCCACCCACCCUCUCAGGCUUCGAUCCCGGAAAUUAGUAAGAUCGCACAUGCGGAAC
Long non-coding RNA from Dinoponera quadriceps, 549 nucleotides. RefSeq lists it as uncharacterized. The transcript is spliced from 3 exons. Lineage: Eukaryota; Metazoa; Arthropoda; Insecta; Hymenoptera; Formicidae. The record is from RefSeq and is a predicted model, not a curated record.